CGGAGCGUGGCGCAGUCUGGUAGCGCACCUGCUUUGGGAGCAGGGGGCCGCUGGUUCGAAUCCAGUCGCUCCGA
RNAcentral lists this transfer RNA (74 nucleotides) under Calditrichota bacterium. RNAcentral describes it as "Calditrichaeota bacterium (activated sludge metagenome) tRNA-Pro". It matches the Rfam family "tRNA". From Rfam's summary of the family: Transfer RNA (tRNA) molecules are approximately 80 nucleotides in length. Their secondary structure includes four short double-helical elements and three loops (D, anti-codon, and T loops). The record is from RNAcentral. RNAcentral also lists the same sequence under 1 other name. Lineage: Bacteria; Pseudomonadati; Calditrichota.